RNAcentral lists this long non-coding RNA (5848 nucleotides) under Citrus sinensis (sweet orange). RNAcentral describes it as "long non-coding RNA (CSIN_LNC001932)". The record is from RNAcentral. Lineage: Eukaryota; Viridiplantae; Streptophyta; Magnoliopsida; Sapindales; Rutaceae.
CAGCAGCCCUCAAGGCCUCUACUAUAAAUAUGGCCAUUAACAUUUGUUAGCAGCCCAUCUCAUAAGCAUCCUCCUUCGUACUGCUAACAAAGAUUUUGAUAUUUUGCAAAUGGGGUUAUGUCAAUACUACCUUCUUUCCGUCGUGCUGCUUUUGCCUGCAUUGUGUUACUCUCAGUUCACGUUCACAAGUUCUAGAGCUACAUUCUAUGGUAGCCCUGACGGCCUGGGGACACCAGGUGUGUAAAAAUCUCACCUUUAUAAAGCUAUGUACAUUAAACUCGUGCACAAGUUUACGCGAAAUAAUAGUUCAUUUCAUUAUGCUUUGGAGAAUUUUUGUUUUUGUAUUUGUUUAUCUUUUAGAUUAACUAAUGUUCAUGUUGAUGAUUCAUCAGCUGGUGCUUGCGGGUUUGGUGCAUACGGAAGAACUGUAAAUGAUGCUAACGUGGCCGGUGUGUCGAGGCUUUGGAAUAAUGGAACUGGUUGUGGAGCUUGCUAUCAGGUAAUGAUUAUUAACUUUCAACCCACUCAAUCAUUGCAGUUUAUUUUAAAGCUAUAUAAUAAAUGUGUAAAGUGAACGAAUUGCUAAGACGGCUAAGCCAGUGCAUGAAAGGAACUUGAAAACUUUAUUUAUUUAAAUUGUAUUGUUUAUAUAUAUAUAUAAGUAGUUGCAUGCAUAUUCUUCAUAAGACUGCUUAAAUCAUUUCAAAUUCAACAUCGUCGACAAUUUUAUUGCCACUAGUAAUUCUUUAGGUUUUGUACCAUCAAUUAAUAAUGAUUAGUUAAUUAAUUAACUUCAGGUCAGAUGCAAUGUACCAGAAGUUUGCACAGAUUAUGGGGUGUACGUGGUGGUGACCGACUAUGGUGAAGGAGACGACACAGACUUCGUCCUCAGCCCACGCGCGUAUGGAAGAAUGGCACUUACAGAUAAGUCAGAAGAGCUUUAUACUUUUGGUGUCGUCGACGUUGAAUUCCUGAGAGUCCCUUGCCGGUUCAGAGGCUACAACCUCAAGUUCAAGGUCCAUGAAAACAGCAAGUACCCACAGUACUUGGCCGUAUCCAUGCUGUACGUAGGUGGCCAAAAUGACGUCCAAGCAGUUGAAAUAUGGCAGGUAAUUACUUACAAAUUAACUUCUAAACAAUUGAUUUUUAGCCCGUCCAUCGCAUGUAAUGCUUUUGUUGGUGCAGGAGGAUUGUAAAGACUGGGUGCCGAUGAGAAGGGCUUUCGGUGCAGUAUUUGACAUCUCUAAUCCACCACCAGGAGCAAUUAAUUUGAGGUUUCAAGUGAGUGGCAGCGCGGGGCUCACAUGGGUUGUGGCAAACAAUGCUAUUCCAAAAGUAUGGAAGGCUGGAGUUGCUUAUGAGUCAGCAAUUCAGCUUGCAUAAAUUUGAGAUAUCCCAAGCUUUAUUAUGACUGGUUCCUGGUUAUCAGCUUCUUAAUGUCAUUUAGAUAUUCUAGUAUGUUGUUGCCCAGCAUCCGUGUCUCCUCAAAACUUAACUAGUUGCUAAAUAAAUAGUGGGAUUGUGUACUUUAAGAUCUUUUGAUCUAAGGAGAAAAUUAAUAAAAUUCAGCUCUCGUCAAAAUAAAACCGCUCAUACGCCUCGUUAGUGGUGUCUUUGUGGGUGUGUCUUAUUGAAUUUCUUGUGAUUGUUUAAAUAACUCCAUUAUAUUUCCUCUACUAACAGUAAUCAGUAAAAUUGAUGUAUUAUCAAACAAUAUACAUCGUCGAUAAUAUUUCUUAGUGAUUGCAACACGUUAAAAAAUAUAUUUCAAAUGUAAAAAUUGUAAAAUAAAUUGUCGAGCCAUUCCGUUUUAGAAUUGGAGAUUAGCCAAAUCUUUUGUCAAUUGUUUAUAAAAGUAUGAUAAAUAUCUACCAACUACUCUUUGUUUUGCACUUUAUAAAAAAUAUACUAAAACUUUUUUCUUUUGUGGCUAUCCACGUAAAGUUUACAAAAUUAUCACUUUUUUACUUUUUCAUUAACAUAAUUAAAGAUUUAAUAGAAUAUUAAUUAAACGACCACUAUAUCGUUAAAAUAUUAUUUAAUCCUAACUAGUAGCUAAAUGAUGAAAAAAAAUUCCAAUUUGUAGCUGUUGGAACCAAUAGCAGCUAUAAAUUUAGUUAGAUAAAUUCAUCAAACCUACUAAUUUAACAAUAUAAAAUCACCAAAAUAACCACCAUAACUAAUUUGUAAUUCAUUUGCAACAUAAAUUCAGAACCUCUGCUCAUAUAAUCCAUCCUAAAUAAUCUUUGACAACAAUAACAAGUCUUGGAAAGCAAUAAAUCACCAAUAAAAACAAUCAUAGUUAUCCAAAAUACAUUUUAAGGAAACAUAAAAGUAGUUAUAAAAAACUUUAAACAUUAUACCUUGCUUCCGUCGAUAAAAAAAGAACAAUGUAAAACCAAUUAUGAUGAAUAUAGAGUUUACAAUUUGUUUCCAUCAAUUCAAAAUUAAACAUAUUCUAAAAUUAUGUAAAACAACAAUUAAUAAAUAAUCUAUUUACAUUUAGGGAUAAAAUAGUUUUUUUAUCAAUAUCCUAUUAAAUCAUCUAAUGCUAUUAAUGGAAAAGUAGAAAAAUAAUAAAAAACUGCAAAAGAAAAGUUUUUGGCGUAUUUCUAAUAAAGCUUAGAAUAUAUUUACCAAUAAAACUACAUAUAAUAAAUUCUUCAACUAACGUACUACAUUAAUUUCAUCUUCAGCUCUUCCGGUAAGCACUGGCUAACGAAUGAUUUUAGGUACACCAUAAAAGGAAUCCAUUUCUCCUCUUUCGGAAGUGUUGUAGUCUUACAGGCAACGACCAGGACAGAACACCCCUUGGAAGCAUCAGAAUACUUACACAUAUUAAAGCAGCGACCUUUAACAGAAUUUGACAUUUGGCAUUGGAAGGGAAGAAUGCAUCAAACGAGGGCUGCAUUGACUGUGUAAAGUUCUCCAGAAUCAGAGCAACUGUGGGUAAAGGACCGUUAACUUGCACAAGUUAUCAGCUGUUUUUUUCAUUUUGACGCAGUUACUGGUUCGAGUCGUACAUGGGAGUAACAGUUUAUAUGCAUCCAUUAAAAAUCAGAUUAAUGGAACAAGUGAUAUGACUAACAGCAGGGCACUUAAAUUUAAAUGUAUUGUCCAACAAACAAAAUACAGCAUAAUGCAAUUUCACGGACGUACAUACAGACAGACACAUACAUCCUCAUAUUUGUGAGCAUAGGUGAGCCAGAAAGAUACUAGGACUUGGAACAAGUGAUAUAACUAACAGGGCACUUGAAUGUACCUUUCAGAUGAAAAUCAAAACUACUACUGUUAACCUCCCUCAGUACAACCGACCAGUGCAUUCUGAAGAACCACAAAAGCAACUCUUUUUCUUAAUGUUGCCAGAUGAAUCAUAAACUUGAUCUAUCACGUAAUUGUAAUGAUAAGUCAGCUCUUGCAGGGGAGGAAUGUUCUCAGCAGCAAAGAGCAUUAUGUGAGGCGUUCUCUUGUCCUCAUGAUCAUAAAGGACGUUUUGGGCAUAAAGAUUAGGCGAACAACUGUGGUUAACAAAUCUCCCCACAUUGCCAUACUCCACUGCAUCAAUGGUAAAUCCACCAUCCUCCACAACUCCACAAGAACUCAAUGGUGCAUCAGGCAUAACAUUCGAAAGUCCACCCCAAAGAGAACCAUCAUUAUAAUUAUUCCCAAUAUCAAAUAGAUACUCAUCAUUACUGGUUCUUCUUUCCGCUUCCUUCUCUUCAAGGAGCUCCCCCGCGUACUCACAGAUAAAACUUCCCGAAGGAAUGGAAUUUAGGGAUCUCACACCCCAUCCCCGUGCUUCAGUUUUGAAGAUCUCCAUCUGAAAUUUGAUACCCUGCUGGCUGACUCUAUUAUAGCAAGAAGCUUCAUUACUCUUUUUCAUUGUUUCACUGGCUUGCAUACAAAUACAACAUUAUGCAGGCUAAUUAGAUAAAAGGGAAUGGCUAGGGCCGACAGACGGAUGACGAGGAGCAUAGCUCACCUACCUCAUCUUCCAAAAAAUAGUAAUUUUCCAUUUAUUAAUUGUUCUACAAGCCUCCUCUCUCGUGCAAUAAGUACGUAUGAUUAAUGAGUGCUUCCGUCCCUAAUUGUUAUAGCUAAAUACGUUUGUCUGGCUUGACCCGUUUACUAGUGCGUUACAACCAAAAGACUGAUGGUGAUCGAGUGGGUUAAUCCAGUUGUUGUGAGCCUAUAGCAUUUGCUUUUGACUCGACAAAGCAAUUUAAAAAAACGCCAUUUUGGAUACCGGUACGUCACGUACUAAAUCCAAUUGCUUGGUGCGGUCUCCCUAUUAGCCUUCGGUUCUUGACUCAAUAAGUAAUUUCCAGCUAGUUUCAAUAGGUUUUAAUUCCACCAUUUACUUACCAUAAUGAUCGAGAAUAGGGAUGGCAAUGGGGUGAGGUGGAUGUGGAGAGGCUUAUCUUAUUCCUCAUUCUAUUAAAAAUGUCACCUCUAUUUUUCACCUCAUUCUCCAUUAAAUUUAGAGGAACGGGGACAAAAAAUCUUUAUAUGGGGAAUAAUUUCCUCAUUCCUAUCUCAUUACCCGUUUAUUUAUUUCAUAAUAAGUAUGGAUACGUGGUUUUAGUACAUUAAAAAUUAGAGACUUAAAUAAAAUUAUUAUCAUAUUAUAAAGUAUUUAAAUUAUUUUAAAAAAUUUCCAAAAUUUUGAAACAAUAUCAAAACUGAUAUCAAAACUGAAAAAUGUUUGGAGAGAGCAUCACUUAAUAAUGUUUUAGAGUUGAAUAAUAAUUAUAUUGUAAGGUUUUCUUUUAAUUAUAACCUGUUUAUAUUAGGUAAAAAUUAACAAGAAAAUUUGUUAACCGACAUUGUAUUUGAUAAAACAAAAAAUAUUAAAUAAAAAUUAAAAAAUAUUUAUAUUUAAAUGGAGAGUGAGGUGGUGGUGGGGUGGAGAAUACAAAACCAAAUCCCAUCCCAUUAAGAGUUUGAGGAUUAUUUAUCCCUCGUUUCCUACUCUAUUCCCUAAAAAUUAUUUAAACCCCAUGAGAACCAAACCCGUGUAAGAUUUUGCCAUCUCUAAUCGCGAAAUCUUGAGUUUUUCCUUGCACCCAAGUCACAAGGUGUGCGCUAUAAGAUCUUUUGGCAUAAUUCAACUGGUUGUAGAUAUUUUCACCCAAAUUCGAAUAGCAAUAAAGAAUAAUGAUUGUUAUUUAGUGGUUUAAGUUUUUCAUCUCCAUUCAAUUUUUAAAAUAAAUAAAUAAAUAGUUUAUGCUAUUAGAACGUCUAAACGAAGCAAACCCAGACCAGUAAUUAACAAUUACAAAACAAUUACUUGGUUGAUAAUAAUGGCAUGGGAGGUGAUUUUAUGAUUUUACUGCUAUUUCCUCUACUAACAGUAAUCAGUAAAAUUGAUGUAUUAUCAAACAAUAUAAAUCGUCGAUAAUAUUUCUUGGUGAUUGCAACAUGUUAAAAAAUAUUUUUCAAACUGCUGUACGGCCAAGGCGGAUGUACGGUACAGCAGUUAUGAUAAUGAGUCCAAUUCAAUUCAAAUAAGGGUCUUGAGGGGUCGAUAAUGGGGUCUACAUUUACGCAUCAUCAAUCUAAUCUAACUCUCUAGUCCCAAGACGAAGAAAAGAGGUGGCAAUUUCCCCUUAGCUGCAGCCCUCAAGGCUUCUACUAUAAAUAUGGCCAUUAACAUUUGUUAGCAACCCAUCUCAGAAGCAUCCUCCUUCGUACUGCUAGCAAAGAUUUUGAUAUUUUGCAAAUGGGGUUAUGUCAAUACUACCUUCUUUCCGUCGUGCUGCUUUUGCCUGCAUUGUGUUACUCUCAGUUCACAUUCACAAGUUCUAGAGCUUCAUUCUAUGGUAGCCCUGACGGCUUGGGGACACCA